ACGCACGCUGGCGGCGUGCUUCACCCCUGCCAGUCGCACGGGCCCGCUCUCUUUUUUGGGGGUGGGUUGAGUGGCGAACGGGUGAGUAUCACGUGAGUAACCUGCCCCCUGCUCCUGGAUAACUGCUUGAAAGGGCGGCUAAUACGGGGUGUGCCGGCUGGUCCGCAUGGGCCUGGUCGGGAUAGUUUCAUCUUCGGGUGUUUCGGUGGGGGAUGGGCUCGCGGCCUAUCAGCUUGUUGGUGGGGUGAUGGCCCACCAAGGCGGUGACGGGUAGCCGGCCUGAGAGGGUGGGCGGCCACACUGGGACUGAGACACGGCCCAGACUCCUGCGGGAGGCAGCAGUGGGGGGUAUUGCACAAUGGGCGGAAGCCUGAUGCAGCGACGUCGCGUGAGGGAUGGAGGCCUUCGGGUUGUGAACCUCUUUCUCCGGUGGUGAAGGCCCUGUCCGUUGCGGCGGGGUUGACGGUAGCCGGGGAUGAAGCGCCGGCUAACUACGUG
RNAcentral lists this ribosomal RNA (498 nucleotides) under uncultured bacterium. Its description in RNAcentral is "partial 16S ribosomal RNA". It matches the Rfam family "Bacterial small subunit ribosomal RNA", at positions 29 to 507 of the family's 1533-position model. The record is from RNAcentral.